UUAAGUGACGAUAGCCUAGGAGAUACACCUGUACCCAUGCCGAACACAGCAGUUAAGCCCUAGAACGCCGGAAGUAGUUGGGGG
This 84-nucleotide ribosomal RNA is filed under the name Streptococcus azizii. The record is from RNAcentral. Lineage: Bacteria; Bacillati; Bacillota; Bacilli; Lactobacillales; Streptococcaceae.